RNAcentral lists this ribosomal RNA (439 nucleotides) under uncultured bacterium. RNAcentral's name for it is "partial 16S ribosomal RNA". It matches the Rfam family "Bacterial small subunit ribosomal RNA", at positions 339 to 795 of the family's 1533-position model. The record is from RNAcentral.
CUACGGGGUGCUGCAGUGGGGAAUAUUGCACAAUGGAGGAAACUCUGAUGCAGCAACGCCGCGUGGAGGAUGACACUUGUCGGAGCGUUAACUCCUUUUAUAUAGGAAGAAGGUGACGGUACUAUAUGAAUAAGCGCCGGCUAACUCCGUGCCAGCAGCCGCGGUAAUACGGAGGGCGCAAGCGUUACUCGGAAUCACUGGGCAUAAAGAGCGUGUAGGCGGAUUAAAAAGUCAGAAGUGAAAUCCUAUAGCUUAACUAUAGAACUGCUUCUGAAACUCUUAAUCUAGAAUAUGGGAGAGGUAGAUGGAAUUUCUGGUGUAGGGGUAAAAUCCGUAGAGAUCAGAAGGAAUACCGAUUGCGAAGGCGAUCUACUAGAACAUUAUUGUCGCUGAGACGCGAAAGCGUGGGGAGCAAACAGGAUUAGAUACCCCCGUAGUC